This 3924-nucleotide long non-coding RNA is filed under the name Xyrichtys novacula (pearly razorfish). Lineage: Eukaryota; Metazoa; Chordata; Actinopteri; Labriformes; Labridae. The record is from RNAcentral.
UAAAUGUUAAAUGUAAAUGUUAAAUGUAAAUGUUAAAUCUAAAUGUUAAAUGUAAAUGUUAAAUCUAAAUGUUAAAUGUAAAUGUUAAAUCUAAAUCUAAAUCUUAAAUCUAAAUGUGUUGGGCGACACUAAAUAUUUAGCUAAUAUGCAAAUUCACGGUCGGAAACUGGAAGUGCCAAAAUAAAAGCUCCAGAAGGUCAUAUUGAUGAUUCUUGUGUCGAAGAAAACGAAUUCAAACCAAUUUAAGGGGGGAACAAAUACUUGGGGUGACGUUUCGUGUUAAUAACUACCUACAAUAGCAACAGCAACAACAAAAACUUUAUCAGAAAGACUCGAGUUUUCAGUGUCGCUUCUCCGUGUGGCGCGGACACUGUACGAACACACGCACACACACAUGCAGGCGCACACAUGAUACUGCUCCUUUGGGGCGGACGCUGCCACAGCCACCGAUGAAGUUGCAGAGGGAGGAAGACUUUUUGGAUAGACAUUUAGAUUUAACAUUUAGAUUUAGAUUUAGAUUUAACAUUUAGACUUAUAUUUAACAUUUAGAUUUAACAGCCCAUUAUAAAAAACAACAGCAAGAUUUGGUCACAUUUAGCUUCAAACAGCAUUUAAAACAGUGAUGUGAAUUUUCGGCAGUCAACAUUUAAAUACUAAAACUAAAUGUUAAAUGUUAAAUAUAAAUGUUAAAUAUAUAUGUUUAAUCUAAAUGUUAAAUAUAAAUCUAAAUGUUAAAUCUAAAUCUAACUGUUAAAUGUAAAUGUUAAAUGUAAAUGUUAAAUCUAAAUGUUAAAUGUAAAUGUUAAAUGUAAAUGUUAAAUGUAAAUGUUAAAUCUAAAUCUAAAUGUUAAAUGUAAAUGUUAAAUCUAAAUGUUUAAUGUAAAUGUUAAAUAUAAAUCUAAAUGUUAAAUCUAAAUCUAACUGUUAAAUAUAAAUGUUAAAUGUUAAAUGUAAAUGUUAAAUGUAAAUGUUAAAUGUAAAUGUUAAAUGUAAAUGUUAAAUGUAAAUGUUAAAUCUAAAUCUAAAUGUUAAAUCUAAAUGUUAAAUCUAAAUCUAAAUGUUAAAUCUUAAUGCUAAAUAUAAAUGUUAAAUAUAUAUGUUUAAUCUAAAUGUUAAAUGUUAAAUGUAAAUGUUAAAUCUAAAUGUUAAAUGUAAAUGUUCAAUGUAAAUGUUAAAUCUAAAUGUUUAAUGUAAAUGUUAAAUGUAAAUGUUAAAUCUAAAUCUAAAUGUUAAAUAUAAAUAUAAAUGUUAAAUCUAAAUGUUAAAUGUAAAUGUUAAAUCUAAAUGUUAAAUGUAAAUGUUAAAUCUAAAUGUUAAAUGUAAAUGUUAAAUCUAUAUUUUAAAUGUAAAUGUUAAAUCUAAAUGUUAAAUGUAAAUGUUAAAUCUAAAUCUAAAUGUUAAAUCUAAAUGUGUUGGGCGACACUAAACAUUUAUCUAAUAUGCAAAUUCACGGUCGGAAACUGGAAGUGCCAAAAUAAAAGCUCCAGAAGGUCAUAUUGAUGAUUCUUGUGUCGAAGAAAACGAAUUCAAACCAAUUUAAGGGGGGAACAAAUACUUGGGGUGACGUUUCGUGUUAAUAACUACCUACAAUAGCAACAGCAACAACAAAAACUUUAUCAGAAAGUCUUCGAGUUUUCAGUGUCGCUUCUCCGUGUGGCGCGGACACUGUACGAACACACGCACACACACAUGCAGGCGCAAACAUGAUACUGCUCCUUUGGGGCGGACGCUGCCACAGCCACCGAUGAAGUUGCAGAGGGAGGAAGACUUUUUAGAUAGACAUUUAGAUUUAACAUUUACAUUUAGAUUUAUAUUUAACAUUUAGACUUAUAUUUAACAUUUAGAUUUAUAUUUAACAUUUAGAUUUAACAGCCCAUUAUAAAAAACAACAGCAAGAUUUGGUCACAAUUAGCUUCAAACAGCAUUUAAAACAGUGAUGUGAAUUUUCAGCAGUCAACAUUUAAAUACUAAAACUAAAUGUUAAAUGUUAAAUCUAAAUGCUAAAUAUAAAUGUUAAAUAUAUAUGUUUAAUCUAAAUGUUAAAUAUAAAUAUAAAUGUUAAAUCUAAAUGUUUAAUGUAAAUGUUAAAUCUAAAUCUAAAUGUUAAAUCUAAAUCUAACUGUUAAAUGUAAAUGUUAAAUGUAAAUGUUAAAUGUAAAUGUUAAAUGUAAAUGUUAAAUGUAAAUGUUAAAUGUAAAUGUUAAAUCUAAAUGUAAAUGUUAAAUGUAAAUGUUAAAUCUAAAUCUUAAUGUUAAAUCUUAAUGCUAAAUAUAAAUGUUAAAUAUAUGUUAAAUCUAAAUGUUAAAUGUUAAAUGUAAAUGUUAAAUGUAAAUGUUAAAUCUAAAUUUUAAAUGUUAAAUGUAAAUGUUAAAUCUAAAUCUAAAUGUUAAAUCUAAAUGUAAAAUCUAAAUCUAAAUGUAAAAUCUAAAUCUAACUGUUAAGUCUAAAUGUUUAAUGUUAAAUGUAAAUGUUAAAUGUAAAUGUUAAAUCUAAAUCUAAAUGUUAAAUAUAAAUAUAAAUGUUAAAUAUAAAUGUUAAAUGUAAAUGUUAAAUGUGAAUGUUAAAUGUAAAUGUUAAAUCUAAAUGUUAAAUGUAAAUGUUAAAUGUAAAUGUUAAAUCUAAAUCUAAAUGAUAAAUCUAAAUGUUAAAUGUAAAUGUUAAAUCUAAAUGUGUUGGGCGACACUAAAUAUUUAUCUAAUAUGCAAAUUCACGGUCGGAAACUGGAAGUGCCAAAAUAAAAGCUCCAGAAGGUCAUAUUGAUGAUUCUUGUGUCGAAGAAAACAAAUUCAAACUAAUUUAAGGGGGGAACAAAUACUUGGGGUGACGUUUCGUGUUAAUAACUACCUACAAUAGCAACAGCAACAACAAAAACUUUAUCAGAAAGACUCGAGUUUUCAGUGUCGCUUCUCCGUGUGGCGCGGACACUGUACGAACACACACACACACACGCAGGCACACACAUGAUACUGCUCCUUUGGGGCGGAUGCUGCCACAGCCACCGAUGAAGUUGCAGAGGGAGGAAGACUUUUUAGAUAGACAUUUAGAUUUAACAUUUACAUUUAGAUUUAUAUUUAACAUUUAGACUUAUAUUUAACAUUUAGAUUUAUAUUUAACAUUUAGAUUUAACGGCCCAUUAUAAAAAAUAACAGCAAGAUUUGGUCACAUUUAGCUUCAAACAGCAUUUAAAAAAGUGAUGUGAAUUUUCGGCAGUCAACAUUUAAAUACUAAAACUAAAUGUUAAAUCUAAUUGCUAAAUAUAAAUGUUAAACACAUAUGUUUAAUCUAAAUGUUAAAUAUAAAUGUAAAUGUUAAAUCUAAUGUUAUUAAAGUUAAAUCUAAAUGUUAAAUGUAAAUGUUAAAUCUAAAUGUUAAAUGUAAAUGUUAAAUCUAAAUCUAAAUGUUAAAUCUAAAUGUUAAAUGUAAAUGUUAAAUCUAAAUGUAAAUGUUAAAUCUAAAUCUAAAUGUUAAAUCUAAAUGUUAAAUGUAAAUGUUAAAUAUAAAUGUUAAAUCUAAAUGUUAAAUGUAAAUGUUAAAUAUAAAUAUAAAUGUUAAAUCUAAAUAUAAAUGUUAAAUAUAAAUGUUAAAUGUUAAAUGUAAAUGUUAAAUCUAAAUUUUAAAUGUUAAAUGUAAAUGUUAAAUCUAAAUCUAAAUGUUAAAUCUAAAUAAUAAAUCUAAAUCUAAAUGUUAAAUCUAAAUGUUAAAUCUAAAUGUGUUGGGCGACACUAAAUAUUUAGCUAAUAUGCAAAUUCACGGUCGGAAACUGGAAGUGCCAAAAUAAAAGCUCCAGAAGGUCAUAUUGAUGAUUCUUGUGUCGAAGAAAACUAUUUCAAACCAAUUUAAGGGGGGAACAAAUACUUGUGGUGACGUUUCGUGUUAAUAACUACCUACAAUAGCAACAGCAACAACAAAAAAUUUAUCAGAAAG